RNAcentral lists this ribosomal RNA (253 nucleotides) under uncultured bacterium. Its description in RNAcentral is "partial 16S ribosomal RNA". It matches the Rfam family "Bacterial small subunit ribosomal RNA", at positions 524 to 776 of the family's 1533-position model. The record is from RNAcentral.
UACGGAGGGUGCAAGCGUUAUCCGGAUUUACUGGGUUUAAAGGGUGCGCAGGCGGAUAUGUAAGUCAGUGGUGAAAUCUCCGGGCUUAACCCGGAAACUGCCGUUGAUACUAUAUAUCUUGAAUGCUGUGGAGGUAAGCAGAAUAUGUCAUGUAGCGGUGAAAUGCUUAGAGAUGACAUAGAAUACCUAUUGCGAAGGCAGCUUACUACGCAGAUAUUGACGCUCAUGCACGAAAGCGUGGGGAUCAAACCGG